AUGGGUAGAAAGGUGUGCACCUCUCUUGUAAUCCUCGCGCUUGUACUGCUCCCUGCCCCGUACACGAAGGCCGCGGUGGGCUACAGCAAUGGCGAGGCGAUCAUGCCAGCGCCCUCCUCGUCCAUGAGGCUGGAGGAUGGUGUGGCGCCGGAGCUUGGGGUGAUAUCGGUGGUGGACCUGGACGUCAACGGCCUCCUCGGCGGCAACGACAUCGGCAUGGGGGCCCUGAAGCGCAACGGGCCUGUCUGCCUUGUUGCUCCGUGCGUCACCGGAGGGCCGUCCAGCGGCGGCGGCCGGGGCUGCAACCCACAUUAUCACUGCGUUAUCCACUGA
RNAcentral lists this ribosomal RNA (333 nucleotides) under Triticum aestivum (bread wheat). RNAcentral describes it as "partial small subunit ribosomal RNA". The record is from RNAcentral. Lineage: Eukaryota; Viridiplantae; Streptophyta; Magnoliopsida; Poales; Poaceae.